ACUACGGGGGGCAGCAGUGAGGAAUAUUGGUCAAUGGGCGCGAGCCUGAACCAGCCAAGUCGCGUGAGGGAAGACGGUCCUAUGGAUUGUAAACCUCUUUUGUCGGGGAGCAAAAGACGCCACGCGUGGCGUUCCGAGAGUACCCGAAGAAAAAGCAUCGGCUAACUCCGUGCCAGCAGCCGCGGUAAUACGGAGGAUGCGAGCGUUAUCCGGAUUUAUUGGGUUUAAAGGGGGCGCAGACGGCAAUGCAAGCCAGGCGUGAAAGCCCGGGGCCCAACCCCGGGAGUGCUCUUGGAACUGGAUGGCUGGAGUACAGGAGAGGUAGGCGGAAUGCGUGGUGUAGCGGUGAAAUGCGUAGAUAUUGGGAGGAACACCGGUGGCGAAGGCGGCGUGCUGGCCUGUGACUGACGUUGAGGCCCGAAGGCGUGGGGAGCAAACAGGAUUAGAUACCCCGGUAGUC
This 460-nucleotide ribosomal RNA is filed under the name uncultured bacterium. Its description in RNAcentral is "partial 16S ribosomal RNA". It matches the Rfam family "Bacterial small subunit ribosomal RNA", at positions 338 to 795 of the family's 1533-position model. The record is from RNAcentral.